This 87-nucleotide small RNA is filed under the name Chryseobacterium aquaeductus. RNAcentral's name for it is "Flavo-1 RNA". It matches the Rfam family "Flavo-1 RNA". Lineage: Bacteria; Pseudomonadati; Bacteroidota; Flavobacteriia; Flavobacteriales; Weeksellaceae. The record is from Rfam by way of RNAcentral.
UCCUAGCCCCGAUGGAAACGGCAUCCUUUUUUGCGUUGGCUUGAAAAAAGCGUUGGCAAAAAGAUAUAGUGGACAGCGGGAAAUAGC